This is a long non-coding RNA of Cyprinus carpio carpio, 428 nucleotides long. The record is from Ensembl. NCBI's taxonomy places the organism in Eukaryota, Metazoa, Chordata, Actinopteri, Cypriniformes, Cyprinidae.
CUCAUGCCAUCCUCCACAUGUGGCAGAGCCAUCGAUCGGCCCGUCAGGAGAGGAGCUGCAGGGGGUGGACGCGACUGAUAACUGGGAUUUCCUUUGUCUGAAAAUCACUAAGCACUGGGGCAGUAACACAACUACAGCUGAACAGCAGAAGCAUGAGACGAUCAUUCAGGACUGGAACAAAUUGGGGGCGAAUAAAUGACGACACCUUUUCAUUUUCAUUGAAUACUCCUUCAAGUGAAACCUGAUGAUGACUGAGGAGCACAAAGCUCCUCUGGUGCACCUGCAGUCCAUCACUCGCUCCUGGAUAUAUCAGCUCACUGUUACAGGUGGCUGGAGAAACACCUGUACAGAAGACAAAAAUUAGAAUUUCAUGAAAUAUAAACACAUAAAUUCUCUUUUUGCUUUGUGACAAGGUUAUUGUAAUCUUA